GCCUGCGGCCAUGCCACCCUGAACAAGCCCGAUGGCGUCUGAUCUUGGAAGCUAAGCAGGGUCGGGCAUGGUUAGUACUUGGAUGAGAGACCACCUAGGAAGAUAAGGUGCUUGCUGUAGGUA
This 123-nucleotide ribosomal RNA is filed under the name Pteropus vampyrus (large flying fox). Lineage: Eukaryota; Metazoa; Chordata; Mammalia; Chiroptera; Pteropodidae. The record is from RNAcentral.